RNAcentral lists this non-coding RNA (767 nucleotides) under Lepomis marginatus (dollar sunfish). RNAcentral describes it as "partial small subunit ribosomal RNA". It matches the Rfam family "Bacterial small subunit ribosomal RNA", at positions 360 to 1533 of the family's 1533-position model. The record is from RNAcentral. Lineage: Eukaryota; Metazoa; Chordata; Actinopteri; Centrarchiformes; Centrarchidae.
AACCUUAAGCCAUAAGUGAAAACUUGACUUAGUUAAAGCUAAAAGGGCCGGUAAAACUCGUGCCAGCCACCGCGGCUUAUACGAGAGGCUCAAGUUGACAAACCCCGGCGUAAAGAGUGGUUAAGGAAACCCGAAGACUAAAGCCGAAUGCCUUCAAAGCUGUUAUACGCUCCCGAAGGUGAGAAGUUCAAUCACGAAAGUGGCUUUAUAACCCCUGACCCCACGAAAGCUAUGAUACAAACUGGGAUUAGAUACCCCACUAUGCUUAGCCCUAAACAUUGGUGACACCUUACACCUGUUGCCCGCCAGGAAACUACGAGCAUUAGCUUAAAACCCAAAGGACUUGGCGGUGCUUUAGACCCACCUAGAGGAGCCUGUUCUAGAACCGAUAACCCCCGUUCAACCUCACCCCUCCUUGUUUAACCCGCCUAUAUACCACCGUCGUCAGCUUACCCUGUGAAGGUCUAAUAGUAAGCACAAUUGGCACAACCCAAAACGUCAGGUCGAGGUGUAGCGCAUGGAGGGGGAAGAAAUGGGCUACAUUCUCUAAUGAAGAGAAUACGAAUGAUAGACUGAAAUGUCUUUCCGAAGGAGGAUUUAGCAGUAAGCAAGAAAUAGAGAGUCCUGCUGAAAUAGGCUCUGAAGCGCGCACACACCGCCCGUCACUCUCCCCAAGCCUAAUUACCAACAUAACUAAAAUGCAACCACUGCAAAGGGGAGGCAAGUCGUAACAUGGUAAGUGUACCGGAAGGUGUACUUGGUAAAAU